CAACUUGAGGGAAUAAGUACUAAUAAACACUUUCUGUUGAACGCGUUCGCCAAUCGCUCUGGCAUGAAUGCCAUGUCACAUGUUUGGUCUUUAUUAUAUGACAUGUGAAUUUGUGAGUCCUACAUUAUUAGAAAAAAUAUUUAAUCUUUAAAAGUUUUAAUUUCUUUUUUCUUUCUCUUUUUUCUCCACCAUACACAGCCAAUAGUCCACAAAUAGCUUCAAACCUCAGCCAUUUUUUACCACAAUCAUCUUCUUCCUCCUAUAUGGAAGCUUCGUCCAAGCAACAAUAUAGCAUGCUCUUUUAUGCUUUGGCAGCCUGUGUAUAUAACAUGUGUUAUAUACACACUAUUCACAAGGUAGCAAUGGAUGAAAGCUUCAGAGUACGGAUGGACAAGUCGCCGGCUCUCUGACUUCGACGGCGACGAUUCCCUCCUCCAAUUUGAGUUCUUUCUAGUGUUUAAUCGAUGACGAUAUUCAAAAAAAUAAUGGGACAAGGAUAGUCCCUCCCGUAAACUACUCGGCUUUGAUUCCAAACCCUGGCAUUUUCAUAUUGACGUCUUCUUCUCUAAGCCCCACCUGCAAACCCAAGAUUUCCCUUGAAAGAGUUCAGUGACGACCAAGAAGAACCAGAUGAUGAUGAUGCUGAUGAUCGGUUAUUCGGUCUUGCAUUUCUUUUUCCAGUAAACCAAUGCAUAAUAAUUUGGACUAUUUUAUAUUUAUGCUUGGAAUCCUUAUGCAAGAGCCAUUUAGUCAAUGGGGAAGAGAAUGGGAAAAGAAACUGGGAAGGGAAGUGAAAGUAGGAUAGAAAAUUAAAAAAAAAAAUUACAGGAUGGGGAGUUGCUUAGGAAGAUGAGAGAGGUGGGAGAGGAGGGGAGAGAGAAAGAACUUUUUUCUUUUUCUUUCUUAUUUAUAUUUUAUUCUAUUUCUAUUUUUUAAUAAAAAUAAAAUUAUUCACAUGUCUUGGCAGCGUGAUUUUCACACAAUUUAGUCAUGUCAGCUGUGCCACUUUCACAUAGGCUUGGUCAAUAGUAAGAUAUUUUAUUAGUAUUUAUUCUGUCAAGUUGAAGUGUUCAAAUGAGAAAAAUAUAAGUUCAUGUAUCAACUUUACAAGAUACAAGUUUAAGUGGCCAGAAAGCCAUUACGCCUGAUUUAUACCUUACAUUAAUUUGUACAUUAAAUAAUUUAAUUGCAUUAAUUUGAGUUAUGUACCUUAAUUCUAAAUCUAAUAUACUUCAAACCAAAAACUCUAAAAAAUUAUAAUUGUAGGUAGUUUAAAUCUAAAUCUUAUGUAGUUCAAAAACCCUAUUUAGUCAUAUAAAUCCUAAAUAGACAAUAACCCUUAAAAAAUGCAUAAAACUAUAUUCCAAAAAUUAAAAAUUAAAAAGAUAAUAAAGUAGAUUACUAACCUUGAAUAGAAAUGAUAGUGAUGGUACCGCCAAGGAGGAGAACGACAAUGGUGGUGGUGGCGGCGCGAAACAAGCUAGGUAGUGGUGGUGGCGGUGGCGCGGAACAGUAGUGGCAGUGGCUGGGGGCACAGGCGUGAGAGAGAUAAGGUGAUGCUUCGAUUUUGGGUGGGAUUAGACUAAAAAUCUGUGAGGAAGGGAGAUGAAUGAGAGAUAGAAGAAAGAGAGAGUGUGUGAAAAGAUGAAAAU
Molecule: long non-coding RNA, 1652 nt
Filed under: Nicotiana benthamiana
Lineage: Eukaryota; Viridiplantae; Streptophyta; Magnoliopsida; Solanales; Solanaceae
Description: long non-coding RNA (NBEN_LNC039276)
Source: RNAcentral